Molecule: long non-coding RNA, 1138 nt
Filed under: Cricetulus griseus (Chinese hamster)
Lineage: Eukaryota; Metazoa; Chordata; Mammalia; Rodentia; Cricetidae
Description: lncRNA (ENSCGRG00015031211.1)
Source: RNAcentral
CUCCAGGUCGACUUUCCAGGCGAUUACUCUAUAAAAUCCGAGGCUGGCCAGAAGUAUCUUGUCAGGCUUUCUCGGACUGCUGAAAUUCCUGGAAAAUGGAGGCUUUACUUAGUUGAAUCAGGAAGGCGCCGGCUAUGGGGAAAAAAAAAGUCAAGUUUUCAGACGGGACCCUUUGCUUGCAAUAACAUUAAGUUGGGUAGCAGGUGCUGGGCAAGUGGCUGUACGAUUCCUUAUGCCGAAAAGCUGAUUAAUGUUAAGCAACUGCUGACCUGACGGUUCAGGAAGUUUUGCUGAGCUUCUUAUGAAAGCUUGCCUACAGCCAGGUCCUAUGAAGGCAUUUUCUCAAUUGAGGUUUCCUCUUUUCAGAAUCUCCCUGUGUAGCCUUGGCUGUCCUGGAACUCACUCUAUCAAACAGGCUGGCCUCAAACUCAUGAAGAUCUGCCUGUCUCUCCCUCCCAAGUACUGGGAUAUUAAAGGUCACAAUGCCAGAUCCUGAACUCUGCCUGUGACCCUAACUACUUAGAAGUUCUGACACCGAGCGGAUGAAUAAAGUUGCUCCUGCUCAUCUAACUUUGGUGGCCUUGUCCUCAAUAUUUCUGAGGCGCCCCGACCUUGAAUCUCAUAUUGAAGACCUUGAAAGCUCUUCACUGUCUAAAUGAACUGAUUCUGUAAUUCCAUCAGUGGCUACUGCAACAUUCAUAACAUUGCAUCUACCGUAGAUGCAUCUACCAUGGGUGUGCUUCAGAGAGCCCCAGCCCCAAACCCUCUCCAUGUGUCAUUUUGGGGGGCAGCGAGCUAUAAAGUAAAAACAAUCCUCUUCUAUAGGACAGCUGUGGAUUCAGAACAAAAGACUAAAAUUCUUAAUCGGGCAUGUUGCACAAACCUGUAAUCCCAGCACUUAGGUAGAGGCAAAGGUUCAGAAAUUCAAGGUCACUCUCUGUGACAUUUGAGUGAGUUUGAGGCCAGCCUGGGAUACACAUGACCUUGUCUUAAAAAUAAAGUAGGACUGGAACCCAAGGCUUACUUCAUUAGCAGCUGUCACUGGGUCACCCCGGCCCUCCUUUGUGCCCCUUUAUUAUGUAUGCAGACUCCUGCUGAAUGUUCCCUCUAGGUUAUUUCCCCCACAGUCCUAGGUUCC